RNAcentral lists this ribosomal RNA (383 nucleotides) under uncultured eukaryote. Its description in RNAcentral is "partial 18S ribosomal RNA". It matches the Rfam family "Eukaryotic small subunit ribosomal RNA", at positions 593 to 976 of the family's 1831-position model. The record is from RNAcentral.
AAUAGCGUAUAUUAAAGUUGUUGCAGUUAAAAAGCUCGUAGUUGGAUUUCUGGUGGGAGCGAUCGGUCUGGCGCUUAGCGCGAGUACUUGCAUCGUCUCCGGCCAUCCUUGGGGAGAGUCUGUCUGGCAUUAGGUUGUCGGGCAGAGGAUCCUCAUCGUUUACUGUGAAAAAAUUAGAGUGUUCAAAGCAGGCUUAUGCCGUUGAAUAUAUUAGCAUGGAAUAAUGGAAUAGGACUGCGGUUCUAUUUUGUUGGUUUCUAGGACCGAAGUAAUGAUUAAUAGGGACAGUUGGGGCCGUUUGUAUUUCGUUGUCAGAGGUGAAAUUCUUGGAUUUACGAAAGACAAACUUCUGCGAAAGCAUUCGGCAAGGAUGUUUUCAUUAA